AUUUGAGUAGUUUAAGUAAAAUUUUGAUUUGUGGUGUCAAAGAAGUAAGGAUUACCUCAGAUU
Molecule: transfer RNA, 63 nt
Filed under: Ruidocollaris sinensis
Lineage: Eukaryota; Metazoa; Arthropoda; Insecta; Orthoptera; Tettigoniidae
Description: tRNA-His
Source: RNAcentral